CAAUAGCGUAUAUUUAAGUUGUUGCAGUUAAAAAGCUCGUAGUUGGAUUUCGGUUAAGAGCGACCGGUCCGCCGUUUGGUGUGCACUGGUUGGUUUUAACUUCCUGUAGAGGACGUGCUCUGGGUUUAACGACCUGGACUCGGAGUCUACGUGGUUACUUUGAAAAAAUUAGAGUGUUCAAAGCGGGCUUACGCUUGAAUAUUUCAGCAUGGAAUAACACUAUAGGACUCCUGUCCUAUUUCGUUGGUCUCGGGACGGGAGUAAUGAUUAAGAGGAACAGUUGGGGGCAUUCGUAUUUCAUUGUCAGAGGUGAAAUUCUUGGAUUUAUGAAAGACGAACUUCUGCGAAAGCAUUUGCCAAGGAUGUUUACAUUAA
Molecule: ribosomal RNA, 375 nt
Filed under: uncultured eukaryote
Lineage: Eukaryota
Description: partial 18S ribosomal RNA
Rfam family: Eukaryotic small subunit ribosomal RNA
Source: RNAcentral